GCUGUGAAGAUUUGCGGCGCUGAUCUGUUUGAACUGAUAUAGCCCACGAUUGUCCUCUAAGAAGUUCUGAGCUU
Puntigrus tetrazona (Sumatra barb) is the source of this 74-nucleotide small nucleolar RNA. RefSeq annotates it as small nucleolar RNA SNORD61. The record is from RefSeq and is a predicted model, not a curated record. The transcript has a single exon. Lineage: Eukaryota; Metazoa; Chordata; Actinopteri; Cypriniformes; Cyprinidae.